UACAGAGGUCUCAAGCGUUGUUCGGAUUCAUUGGGCGUAAAGGGUGUGUAGGUGGCGCGCUAAGUCGGGUGUGAAAUUUCGGAGCUUAACUCCGAAACUGCAUUCGAUACUGGCGUGCUUGAGGACUGGAGAGGAGACUGGAAUUUACGGUGUAGCGGUGAAAUGCGUAGAUAUCGUAAGGAAGACCAGUGGCGAAGGCGGGUCUCUGGACAGUUCCUGACGCUGAGGCACGAAGGCCAAGGGAGCAAACGGG
This 253-nucleotide ribosomal RNA is filed under the name uncultured bacterium. RNAcentral describes it as "partial 16S ribosomal RNA". It matches the Rfam family "Bacterial small subunit ribosomal RNA", at positions 524 to 776 of the family's 1533-position model. The record is from RNAcentral.